Molecule: ribosomal RNA, 301 nt
Filed under: uncultured bacterium
Lineage: Bacteria
Description: partial 16S ribosomal RNA
Rfam family: Bacterial small subunit ribosomal RNA
Source: RNAcentral
CAGCAGCCGCGGGAAUACGUAGGGUGCGAGCGUUAAUCGGAAUUACUGGGCGUAAAGCGUGCGCAGGCGGUUAUAUAAGACAGAUGUGAAAUCCCCGGGCUCAACCUGGGACCUGCAUUUGUGACUGUAUAGCUAGAGUACGGUAGAGGGGGAUGGAAUUCCGCGUGUAGCAGUGAAAUGCGUAGAUAUGCGGAGGAACACUGAUGGCGAAGGCAAUUCCCUGGACCUGUACUGACGCUCAUGCACGAAAGCGUGGGGAGCAAACAGGAUUAGAUACCCCCGUAGUCCCUGUCUCUUAUAC